RNAcentral lists this ribosomal RNA (853 nucleotides) under uncultured alveolate. RNAcentral describes it as "partial Bacterial large subunit ribosomal RNA". It matches the Rfam family "Bacterial large subunit ribosomal RNA", at positions 1 to 939 of the family's 2925-position model. The record is from RNAcentral.
CAAGGUCUUAGAGGCUCAGGGUGGAGGCCUGGGCGCCCACAGGCGAAGAAGGACGUGCCAGCCGACGAAACGCUCCGUAGAGCCGGUUAGAGGCAGUGAGACGGAGGUAUCCGAAUGGGGAAACCCUUUAACUACCCCCUGUAGAGGGGGCUAGAGCGAACCUGGGGAACUGAACCAUCUUAGUACCCAGAGGAACAGAAAGUAACAACGAUCCCCUGAGUAGUGGCGAGCGAAACGGUGGGACCAAGGCGACAAAGACAAUGCGUUGCCUGCCAACAAACCUUCCAUAGAAGCGGGGGUGAUGAGAGUGGUCAGAGCUUGUGACUGCUCGAGUAGGAUGGAGCAUGGGAAAGCCCGUUUGAAUCAGCGAGGACCACCUUGCCAGGCUAAAUACUCGUGGGUGACCGAUAGUGCACCAGUACCGUGAGGGAAAGGUGAAAAGCACCCCGACGAGGGGAGUGAAAGAGACCCUGAAACCGAAUGCUUACAAUCAGUCGGAGCCCGCAAGGGUGACGGCGUACCUUUUGCAUAAUGGGUCAGCGAGUUGGUCUGUGCAGCGAGCUUAAGCCGGUAGGCGUAGGCGCAGCGAAAGCGAGUCUGAACAGGGCGUUCAGUUCGUCGGACUAGACCCGAAACCGAGUGAUCUAGCCAUGAGCAGGCUGAAGGUUGGGUAACACCAACUGAAGGGCCGAACCCGUAUCUGUUGCAAUAGAUUGGGAUGACUUGUGGCUAGGGGUGAAAGGCCAAUCAAACCCGGAGAUAGCUGGUUCUCCGCGAAAACUAUUUAGGUAGUGCGUCGAGUAUUACCCUCGGGGGUAGAGCACUGGAUGGGCUAGGGGGCCGCGAGGCUUAC